This 254-nucleotide ribosomal RNA is filed under the name uncultured bacterium. RNAcentral describes it as "partial 16S ribosomal RNA". It matches the Rfam family "Bacterial small subunit ribosomal RNA", at positions 524 to 776 of the family's 1533-position model. The record is from RNAcentral.
UACAGAGGUUGCAAGCGUUGUUCGGAAUUACUGGGCGUAAAGGGCGCGUAGGCGGUCUUGUAAGUCUUGUGUGAAAUCCCUCGGCUUAACUGAGGAACUGCACGGGAUACUGCGAGACUUGAGUUCGGGAGAGGGAAGCGGAAUUCCGGGUGUAGCGGUGAAAUGCGUAGAUAUCCGGAGGAACACCGGUGGCGAAGGCGGCUUCCUGGACCGAUUACUGACGCUGAGGCGCGAAAGCUAGGGGAGCAAACGGG